GGAUCCUACGGGACGCAGCAGUGGGGAAUAUUGCACAAUGGGGGAAACCCUGAUGCAGCGACGCCGCGUGAGUGAAGAAGUAUUUCGGUAUGUAAAGCUCUAUCAGCAGGGAAGAAAAUGACGGUACCUGACUAAGAAGCCCCGGCUAACUACGUGCCAGCAGCCGCGGUAAUACGUAGGGGGCAAGCGUUAUCCGGAUUUACUGGGUGUAAAGGGAGCGUAGACGGCAGAGCAAGUCUGAAGUGCAAGCCCGCGGCCCAACUGCGGACCUGCUUUGGAAACUGC
RNAcentral lists this ribosomal RNA (285 nucleotides) under uncultured bacterium. RNAcentral's name for it is "partial 16S ribosomal RNA". It matches the Rfam family "Bacterial small subunit ribosomal RNA", at positions 334 to 636 of the family's 1533-position model. The record is from RNAcentral.